UUGCAGCCCGUGGUGAGUGGCAGUUCCUUGUGCAGGUCAGCACAUGACUAGCAGUGUCGGAGGGUGGGGAGACAAGGUGGCAGCUGGCGAGGGACGUUGUAUGUGGUGGUGAAUGCAUGCUGUUGGUGCGCUGAAUUCCCGUACCCGUUCACGGCUAUCGGGAAACUACCAACAGCACAUGAUGCACUGCGCGAUGCUCGUCCUUCCUUCUCGUACGUAUCCUCACUACACUAUGACGAUGGACUAUGACGUUCUUUUCGGUGAUUAUGUGAUUGAUGGUGCUAUAUUUGUCUCCACCCUUUGCGAAGGUCCAUGCAUGGCUGACGAUUUGUCUUACUAGCUCCCGCCCAACGUCGCCUUCCUCUGCAGAUGUAUUUGUGUAGGCCCCACCAAGGCCCACCGGGGGAAGACCGCCGGUCGACAAGCGAUUCGGUUGGACCCGUUGAAAAACGCCAACAUCAAAUUCCAGGAUUUUCCGCAUUUACCCUAGACAGGCCAUCCCAAAGUAUGGACAAUUAUCUGAUUAGCUUUAGGCUGUCUAAAAUUCUUGUGUGAUGACUACAUUAUUGUGCUUCGGUUGCGUGUGCUCUGACGACGACAGGUAGUUGUCCGGCUUAAUUGGGAUAGUGUGUAUGGGCC
RNAcentral lists this long non-coding RNA (639 nucleotides) under Volvox carteri. Its description in RNAcentral is "long non-coding RNA (VCAR_LNC002414)". The record is from RNAcentral. Lineage: Eukaryota; Viridiplantae; Chlorophyta; Chlorophyceae; Chlamydomonadales; Volvocaceae.